This 70-nucleotide transfer RNA is filed under the name Camelus bactrianus (Bactrian camel). It matches the Rfam family "tRNA". Rfam says of the family: Transfer RNA (tRNA) molecules are approximately 80 nucleotides in length. Lineage: Eukaryota; Metazoa; Chordata; Mammalia; Artiodactyla; Camelidae. RNAcentral also lists the same sequence under 2 other names. The record is from Rfam by way of RNAcentral.
GGGGAUAGCUCAGUGGUGGAGCAUGUGCUUAGCAUACAGAAGUUCCUGGGUUCAAUCCCCAGUGGCUCCA